This 74-nucleotide transfer RNA is filed under the name Anaerolineales bacterium. RNAcentral's name for it is "tRNA-Val". It matches the Rfam family "tRNA". From Rfam's summary of the family: Transfer RNA (tRNA) molecules are approximately 80 nucleotides in length. Their secondary structure includes four short double-helical elements and three loops (D, anti-codon, and T loops). Further hydrogen bonds mediate the characteristic L-shaped molecular structure. tRNAs have two regions of fundamental functional importance: the anti-codon, which is responsible for specific mRNA codon recognition, and the 3' end, to which the tRNAs corresponding amino acid is attached (by aminoacyl-tRNA synthetases). tRNAs cope with the degeneracy of the genetic code in two manners: having more than one tRNA (with a specific anti-codon) for a particular amino acid; and 'wobble' base-pairing, i.e. permitting non-standard base-pairing at the 3rd anti-codon position. RNAcentral also lists the same sequence under 1 other name. The record is from RNAcentral. Lineage: Bacteria; Bacillati; Chloroflexota; Anaerolineae; Anaerolineales.
GGGCGGUUAGCUCAGCUGGUUAGAGCGCUACGUUGACAUCGUAGAGGUCGUUGGUUCGAGUCCAAUACCGCCCA